Molecule: ribosomal RNA, 447 nt
Filed under: uncultured bacterium
Lineage: Bacteria
Description: partial 16S ribosomal RNA
Rfam family: Bacterial small subunit ribosomal RNA
Source: RNAcentral
CCUACGGGUGGCAGCAGUGGGGAAUCUUGCGCAAUGGGCGGAAGCCUGACGCAGCGACGCCGCGUGCGGGACGAAGGCCUUCGGGUCGUAAACUGCUUUCAGCAGGGACGAGGCCCUCACGGUGACGGUACCUGCAGAAGAAGCUCCGGCUAACUACGGGCCGGCAGCCGCGGUACUCCGUGGGGGGCGGUCGUAAUCCGGAUUCAUGGGUCGUAAGGCGCGGGUGGGCGGCCUGUUAGCGCGGGGGUCAACUACCGGGGCUAACCCGCGCUCCGCCCCCGAUACCGGCAGGCUUGAGUCUGGUAGGGGAAGGCGGAAUGCCAAGUGUAGCGGUGAAAUGCGCAGAGAUUGGGAAGAACACCGGCGGCGAAGGCGGCCUUCUGGGCCACGACUGACGCUGAGGCGCGAAAGCGAGGGGAGCGAACAGGAUUAGAUACCCCUGUAGUC